AAUCAACGCUGGCGGCGUGCCUCAGACAUGCAAGUCGAACGAUUUAAAGCUCUCUUCGGAGAGUGUAUAGAGUGGCGCACGGGUGAGUAACACGUAAGUAAUCUACCUUUGAGUGGGAAUAACAGUCGGAAACGACUGCUAAUACCGCAUAAUGCAGCGGCACCGCAAGGUGACAGUUGUUAAAGGAGCAAUUCGCUUAAAGAGGAGCUUGCGGCAGAUUAGCUUGUUGGUAAGGUAACGGCUUACCAAGGCUACGAUCUGUAUCCGGUCUUAGAGGACGGUCGGACACACUGACACUGAAUAACGGGUCAGACU
RNAcentral lists this ribosomal RNA (315 nucleotides) under uncultured bacterium. RNAcentral describes it as "bacterial SSU rRNA". It matches the Rfam family "Bacterial small subunit ribosomal RNA", at positions 32 to 337 of the family's 1533-position model. The record is from RNAcentral.